GAAGUCAUGUGAUGCAAGUUAGACUUCAGAAAUUAACACCUUCACUUCUCUUAUUUUUAUUUCAGAAAUUCUUGGUUUAAGUAUCGUUCUUUACUAACCAUCUUACUAAUCCUCGGUGCUCGCCAAGAUGCUUCUUUGUAGUUCUGAUCCUGCACUUUGUGAAUCAAUAUUCCAAGCCACACUGACUAGUCGCAGUUCCCUAGCAAAGUUUCCAACACCAG
RNAcentral lists this long non-coding RNA (221 nucleotides) under Capsicum annuum. RNAcentral's name for it is "long non-coding RNA (CANN_LNC014149)". Lineage: Eukaryota; Viridiplantae; Streptophyta; Magnoliopsida; Solanales; Solanaceae. The record is from RNAcentral.